RNAcentral lists this ribosomal RNA (1338 nucleotides) under metagenome. RNAcentral describes it as "SSU rRNA". It matches the Rfam family "Eukaryotic small subunit ribosomal RNA", at positions 487 to 1772 of the family's 1831-position model. The record is from RNAcentral.
ACUAGGAUUUAUCCUGGGGUCACAAUGGGCUUGAUUUGCAAACUUUAUCUAGCGAGGAACAAUUGGAGGGCAAGUCUGGUGCCAGCAGCCGCGGUAAUUCCAGCUCCAAUAGUGUAUAUUAAUGUUCCUGCAGUUAUUCGAUGCUCGUAGUUGGAUUUCUGGGGGCUGAGAUUGGAAGGUGGCCAAGGUCACCACCGAACUCUUCCUUCAUCCACCUGUUAACGUUGUCCGGGAUUUGUUUCUCGGCUUCAGGCUCAGGUAUUUUACCCUUUCUAUAUAUUCAUUUAUUUAUCUUCUUUUUGAGUAAAUUAUAGUGUUUCAGGCAGGCGUGCGCCGGAAUACUUUAGCAUGGAAUAAUCGAAUUGGACCGUGUAUUCUUAUAGAAUUCUUCCUUAUUUGUUGGUUUCAAGGACACGGAAAUGGUUAAUAGGGAUAGUGUUUUCAGGGGAGGCAUUAGUAUUUAAUUUCCAGAGGUGAAAUUCUUUGAAAUAUUAAAGACUAACUUAUGCGAAAGCAUUUAUUUUGCCAAUAAUGUUCUCAUUAAUCAUUGAACGAAAGUUAGGGGAUCAAAGACGAUCAGAUACCGUCCUAGUCUUAACCAUAAACGUUGCCGACUAGGGAUCGGAGGGCGUGCACAUUCCGCCUUCGGCACCUUACGAGAAAUCAAAGUCUUUUGGGUUCUGGGGGUAGUAUGGUCGCAAGGCUGAAACUUAAAGGGAUUGACGGAAGGGCACCACCAGGAGUGGAGCUUGCGGCUCAAUUUGACUCAACACGGGAAAUCUUACCAGGUCCAGACAUAGCGAGGAUUGACAGAUUGAUAGCUCUUUCUUGAUUCUAUGGGUAUUUAUUUUAAUUUUGGUGGUGCAUGGCCGUUCUUAGUUGGUGGAGUGAUUUGUCUGGUUAAUUCCGUUAAACGAACGAGACCUCAGCCUGCUAAAUAGUUACCUGUCUUUCUUUUACGAGACUUGAUAACUUCUUAGAGGGACGUUGUGUGCAACCACAAGGAAGUUGAGGCAAUAACAGGUCAGUGAUGCCCUUAGAUGUCCUGGGCCGCACGCGUGCUACACUGAUACGUACAACAAGGUAUAUGCAUUUAUGCAUCGAUGCUGCUCCGAAAUAGACACAGCUAAAUCUUCUAAAAUACGUAUCGUGCUGCGGAUAGAUCGUUGAAAUUAUGGAUCUUGAAGGUGGAAUUCCUAGUAAGCGCGGGUCAUCAACCCGCGUUGAUUACGUCCCUGCCCUUUGUACACACCGCCCGUCGCUCCUACCAAUUUCGAGUGGCUCGGUGAACCUCUUUGGACUGUCGAGCAAUCGCGAAAUUAGAGUGAACCUGGUCAC